AUUGAACGCUGGCGGAAUGCUUUACACAUGCAAGUCGAACGGCAGCACGGACUUCGGUCUGGUGGCGAGUGGCGAACGGGUGAGUAAUGUAUCGGAACGUGCCCAGUCGUGGGGGAUAACGUAGUGAAAAUUACGCUAAUACCGCAUACGAUCUAUGGAUGAAAGCGGGGGAUCGCAAGACCUCGCGCGAUUGGAGCGGCCGAUAUCAGAUUAGGUAGUUGGGGGGGUAAAGGCCCACCAAGCCAAAGAUCUGUAGCUGGUCUGAGAGGACGACCAGCCAAACAGAAGCUGAGAAACGGUCCAGACUCCUACGGGAGGCAGCAGUGGGGAAUUUUGGACAAUGGGCGAAAGCCUGAUCCAGCCAUUCCGCGUGCAGGAUGAAGGCCCUCGGGUUGUAAACUGCUUUUGUACAGAACGAAAAGGUUUCUACUAAUACUAGGAGCUCAUGACGGUACUGUAAGAAUAAGCACCGGCUAACUACGUGCCAGCAGCCGCCGUAA
RNAcentral lists this ribosomal RNA (500 nucleotides) under uncultured bacterium. RNAcentral describes it as "partial 16S ribosomal RNA". It matches the Rfam family "Bacterial small subunit ribosomal RNA", at positions 30 to 523 of the family's 1533-position model. The record is from RNAcentral.